GCCACAUUUGUUAUUUUGUAUUUGUGUUCAUGUUUAGUUUUUCUUAUUAUAAAAACAUGAACUCUAACAACGCUGCAUUUUGGUCCUCCUCUCCUUCCCAGGAAGAAAGCCGUUACAUCUACUAAUAAAAGAAUGGACGACCGGACCAGAGAAGAGAAGUCCAGGACCUGAAGAACAGUUUGCAGUUUUCCCAGGGUCAGCUCGACGAGUUGAAAUAGGAGAACGGCAAGAUGACAUCAAUCUGGACAAUCAUGGUUGUGGACGGAAUUGCAGAAUCUCCACAAGAGACCAGGAGUCCGAGGACAAAGUGAGGGAAAUUAUCUCUGAGAUAUUGAAGAUGGACAACAAGAAGAUUGAGGUGGAGCGCUCCUACAGGAUUGGAAAACCCACCACCAGCCCAGGUGACUGGACCAGGCCUAUAGUGGUCAAGUUCCUGAGGUUCAAGGACAAGGUAGCUGUUCUGGAAAGAGCCAAGAACUUGAGAGGAACGUAUAUCUUCCUCAACAAGGACUAUCCUGAAGCUGUGCGCCAGAAGAGGAAAGAUCUGAUCCCAGCCAUGAAAGCUGCGCGUGGGGACAUUGCUUACAUCCACUAUGACAGGCUCAUUGUCCACCCUCUCUUCAAAAAGCCUGGAAGGGAUGAGAGAGCCAAGCCUAUGGGUUCGUAGCCUCAACCACGCAACACAAACACACCAACUGAUUAAUGGACUGGUGAAUGUAUUUCUUUUAUGUUGCUUUGUCUGCUCUUUUCAAUAUUAUGUCUCUCUGUUACUACCCAGGAAAGGGCUGAAAAUAGCCCAUAUUAAUGUAUGUAGCCUUAGAAAUUAGGUUCAUGAAAUCAAUAACUUGCUAACGUCAGUUAACAUUUAUAUAUCAGCCAUUUCUGAGACUCUCUUCUGCUUAGAGAAUAUCUUCUGUCAAGUGUUAUUGAAGUGUUGUGGUUGCAGGUUCACCUGACACAUCUACAGCCUUUUCUUUUGGGGUGUUGCUAUAGGCCACCAGGUGCUAACAGUCAGUAUCUAAAUAAUAUGUGUGAAAUGCUUGAUAGUGUAUGUGAUGUAAACAGAG
Oncorhynchus tshawytscha (Chinook salmon) is the source of this 1067-nucleotide long non-coding RNA. The record is from Ensembl. NCBI's taxonomy places the organism in Eukaryota, Metazoa, Chordata, Actinopteri, Salmoniformes, Salmonidae.